CCCCUUGGGGAGUAGCCUGCUUUCGUCCAUCGAAAGCGCCUGCAUCAACAUGCUCGGCCAUUGCGCCGUGGUGCAGGCAACCAAUUUCGGUUUGGCGAGACCAGCGGCAUGCGUGCACGACGACGGUU
Molecule: small RNA, 128 nt
Filed under: Xanthomonas fragariae
Lineage: Bacteria; Pseudomonadati; Pseudomonadota; Gammaproteobacteria; Lysobacterales; Lysobacteraceae
Description: Manganese sequence
Rfam family: Manganese Mn2+ riboswitch aptamer (yybP-ykoY)
About the family: This RNA was originally discovered in E. coli during a large scale screen and was named SraF. The family was later found to exist upstream of related families of protein genes in many bacteria, including the the yybP and ykoK genes in B. subtilis.
Source: RNAcentral